GACGAACGCUGGCGGCGUGCUUAACACAUGCAAGUCGUACGGUAAGGCCCUUUCGGGGGUACACGAGUGGCGAACGGGUGAGUAACACGUGAGUAACCUGCCCACAACUUUGGGAUAACACUAGGAAACUGGUGCUAAUACUGGAUAUGUGCUCCUGCUGCAUGGUGGGGGUUGGAAAGCUCCGGCGGUUGUGGAUGGACUCGCGGCCUAUCAGCUUGUUGGUGGGGUAGUGGCCUACCAAGGCGGCGACGGGUAGCCGGCCUGAGAGGGUGACCGGCCACAUUGGGACUGAGAUACGGCCCAGACUCCUACGGGAGGCAGCAGUGGGGAAUAUUGCACAAUGGGCGCAAGCCUGAUGCAGCAACGCCGCGUGCGGGAUGACGGCCUUCGGGUUGUAAACCGCUUUCAGCAGGGACGAAGCUUUUUGUGACGGUACCUGCAGAAGAAGCACCGGCUAACUACGUG
This 465-nucleotide ribosomal RNA is filed under the name uncultured bacterium. RNAcentral describes it as "partial 16S ribosomal RNA". It matches the Rfam family "Bacterial small subunit ribosomal RNA", at positions 28 to 507 of the family's 1533-position model. The record is from RNAcentral.